GACGAACGCUGGCGGCGUGCCUAAUACAUGCAAGUCGAACGAACUCUGGUAUUGAUUGGUGCUUGCAUCAUGAUUUACAUUUGAGUGAGUGGCGAACUGGUGAGUAACACGUGGGAAACCUGCCCAGAAGCGGGGGAUAACACCUGGAAACAGAUGCUAAUACCGCAUAACAACUUGGACCGCAUGGUCCGAGUUUGAAAGAUGGCUUCGGCUAUCUCUUUUGGAUGGUCCCGCGGCGUAUUAGCUAGAUGGUGGGGUUACGGCUCACCAUGGCAAUGAUACGUAGCCGACCUGAGAGGGUAAUCGGCCACAUUGGGACUGAGACACGGCCCAAACUCCUACGGGAGGCAGCAGUAGGGAAUCUUCCACAAUGGACGAAAGUCUGAUGGAGCAACGCCGCGUGAGUGAAGAAGGGUUUCGGCUCGUAAAACUCUGUUGUUAAAGAAGAACAUAUCUGAGAGUAACUGUUCAGGUAUUGACGGUAUUUAACCAGAAAGCCACGGCUAACUACGUGCCAGCAGCCGCGGUAAUACGUAGGUGGCAAGCGUUGUCCGGAUUUAUUGGGCGUAAAGCGAGCGCAGGCGGUUUUUUAAGUCUGAUGUGAAAGCCUUCGGCUCAACCGAAGAAGUGCAUCGGAAACUGGGAAACUUGAGUGCAGAAGAGGACAGUGGAACUCCAUGUGUAGCGGUGAAAUGCGUAGAUAUAUGGAAGAACACCAGUGGCGAAGGCGGCUGUCUGGUCUGUAACUGACGCUGAGGCUCGAAAGUAUGGGUAGCAAACAGGAUUAGAUACCCUGGUAGUCCAUACCGUAAACGAUGAAUGCUAAGUUGUUGGAGGGUUUCCGCCCUUCAGUGCUGCAGCUAACGCAUUAAGCAUUCCGCCUGGGGAGUACGGCCGCAAGGCUGAAACUCAAAGGAAUUGACGGGGGCCCGCACAAGCGGUGGAGCAUGUGGUUUAAUUCGAAGCUACGCGAAGAACCUUACCAGGUCUUGACAUACUAUGCAAAUCUAAGAGAUUAGACGUUCCCUUCGGGGACAUGGAUACAGGUGGUGCAUGGUUGUCGUCAGCUCGUGUCGUGAGAUGUUGGGUUAAGUCCCGCAACGAGCGCAACCCUUAUUAUCAGUUGCCAGCAUUAAGUUGGGCACUCUGGUGAGACUGCCGGUGACAAACCGGAGGAAGGUGGGGAUGACGUCAAAUCAUCAUGCCCCUUAUGACCUGGGCUACACACGUGCUACAAUGGAUGGUACAACGAGUUGCGAACUCGCGAGAGUAAGCUAAUCUCUUAAAGCCAUUCUCAGUUCGGAUUGUAGGCUGCAACUCGCCUACAUGAAGUCGGAAUCGCUAGUAAUCGCGGAUCAGCAUGCCGCGGUGAAUACGUUCCCGGGCCUUGUACACACCGCCCGUCACACCAUGAGAGUUUGUAACACCCAAAGUCGGUGGGGUAACCUUUUAGGAACCAGCCGCCUAAGGUGGGACAGAUGAUUAGGGUGAAG
Molecule: ribosomal RNA, 1493 nt
Filed under: Lactiplantibacillus plantarum
Lineage: Bacteria; Bacillati; Bacillota; Bacilli; Lactobacillales; Lactobacillaceae
Description: bacterial SSU rRNA
Rfam family: Bacterial small subunit ribosomal RNA
Source: RNAcentral